Molecule: ribosomal RNA, 119 nt
Filed under: Carassius auratus (goldfish)
Lineage: Eukaryota; Metazoa; Chordata; Actinopteri; Cypriniformes; Cyprinidae
Source: RNAcentral
GCUUACGGCCAUACCAACCUGGCUAUGCCCGAUCUCGUCUGAUUUCGGAAGCUAAGCAGGUUUGGGCCUGUUUAGUACUUGGAUGGGAGACUGCCUGGGAUUACCAUGUGCUGUAAGCU